AAUUCCCGUUAGAUAAAGAGGGAGAGCGGAGGAGGCGAACGGGUGAGUAAUACAUCGGAACGUGCCCGAUCGUGGGGGAUAACGCAGCGAAAGCUGUGCUAAUACCGCAUACGAUCUACGGAUGAAAGCGGGGGAUCGCAAGACCUCGCGCGGACGGAGCGGCCGAUGGCAGAUUAGGUAGUUGGUGGGAUAAAAGCUUACCAAGGCGACGAUCUGUAGCGGGUCUGAGAGGAUGAUCCGCCACACUGGGACUGAGACACGGCCCAGACUCCUACGGGAGGCAGCAGUGGGGAAUUUUGGACAAUGGGCGCAAGCCUGAUCCAGCCAUGCCGCGUGCGGGAAGAAGGCCUUCGGGUUGUAAACCGCUUUCAGGUGGAAAGAAAUCGUUCUGGCCAAUACCCAGGAUGGAUGACGGUACCAUCAGAAGAAGCACCGGCUAACUACGUGCCAGCAGCCGCGGUAAUACGUAGGGUGCGAGCGUUAAUCGGAAUUACUGGGCGUAAAGCGUGCGCAGGCGGCUUUUUAAGCCAGACGUGAAAUCCCCGGGCUUAACCUGGGAACUGCGUUUGGAACUGGAAAGCUAGAGUGUGUCAGAGGGGGGUGGAAUUCCGCGUGUAGCAGUGAAAUGCGUAGAUAUGCGGAGGAACACCGAUGGCGAAGGCAGCCCCCUGGGAUAACACUGACGCUCAUGCACGAAAGCGUGGGGAGCAAACAGGAUUAGAUACCCUGGUAGUCCACGCCCUAAACGAUGUCAACUGGUUGUUGGGAAGUUCCUUCUCAGUAACGUAGCUAACGCGUGAAGUUG
RNAcentral lists this ribosomal RNA (805 nucleotides) under uncultured beta proteobacterium. Its description in RNAcentral is "bacterial SSU rRNA". It matches the Rfam family "Bacterial small subunit ribosomal RNA", at positions 64 to 867 of the family's 1533-position model. The record is from RNAcentral. Lineage: Bacteria; Pseudomonadati; Pseudomonadota; Betaproteobacteria.